Molecule: ribosomal RNA, 752 nt
Filed under: uncultured Comamonadaceae bacterium
Lineage: Bacteria; Pseudomonadati; Pseudomonadota; Betaproteobacteria; Burkholderiales; Comamonadaceae
Description: bacterial SSU rRNA
Rfam family: Bacterial small subunit ribosomal RNA
Source: RNAcentral
AUUGAACGCGGCGGCAUGCCUUACACAUGCAAGUCGAACGGCAGCACGGGAGCAAUCCUGGUGGCGAGUGGCGAACGGGUGAGUAAUACAUCGGAACGUGCCCAAUCGUGGGGGAUAACGCAGCGAAAGCUGUGCUAAUACCGCAUACGAUCUACGGAUGAAAGCAGGGGAUCGCAAGACCUUGCGCGAAUGGAGCGGCCGAUGGCAGAUUAGGUAGUUGGUGAGGUAAAGGCUCACCAAGCCGUCGAUCUGUAGCUGGUCUGAGAGGACGACCAGCCACACUGGGACUGAGACACGGCCCAGACUCCUACGGGAGGCAGCAGUGGGGAAUUUUGGACAAUGGGCGAAAGCCUGAUCCAGCCAUGCCGCGUGCAGGAUGAAGGCCUUCGGGUUGUAAACUGCUUUUGUACGGAACGAAACGGCCUUUUCUAAUAAAGAGGGCUAAUGACGGUACCGUAAGAAUAAGCACCGGCUAACUACGUGCCAGCAGCCGCGGUAAUACGUAGGGUGCAAGCGUUAAUCGGAAUUACUGGGCGUAAAGCGUGCGCAGGCGGUUAUGUAAGACAGUUGUGAAAUCCCCGGGCUCAACCUGGGAACUGCAUCUGUGACUGCAUAGCUAGAGUACGGUAGAGGGGGAUGGAAUUCCGCGUGUAGCAGUGAAAUGCGUAGAUAUGCGGAGGAACGCCGAUGGCGAAGGCAAUCCCCUGGACCUGUACUGACGCUCAUGCACGAAAGCGUGGGGAGCAAACAGG